GACGAACGCUGGCGGCGUGCCUAAUACAUGCAAGUCGAACGCUGAAGAGAGGAGCUUACUCUUCUUGGAUGAGUUGCGAACGGGUGAGUAACGCGUAGGUCACCUGCCUUGUAUCGGGGGAUAACUAUUGGAAACGAUAGCUAAUACCGCAUAACAAUGGAUUACACAUGUCAUUUAUUUGAAAGGGGCAAUUGCUCCACUACAAGAUGGACCUGCGUUGUAUUAGCUAGUAGGUGAGGUAAUGGCUCACCUAGGCGACGAUACAUAGCCGACCUGAGAGGGUGAUCGGCCACACUGGGGCUGAGACACGGCCCAGACGCCUACGGGAGGCAGCAGUAGGGAAUCUUCGGCAAUGGGGGCAAACCUGACCGAGCAACGCCGCGGGAGGGAAGAAGGUUGUCGGAUCGUAAAGCUCGGUUGUAAGUCAAGAACGGGUGUGAGAGUGGAAAGUUCACAAUGUGACGGUAGCUUACCAGAAAGGGACGGCUAACUACGUG
This 497-nucleotide ribosomal RNA is filed under the name uncultured bacterium. RNAcentral describes it as "partial 16S ribosomal RNA". It matches the Rfam family "Bacterial small subunit ribosomal RNA", at positions 28 to 507 of the family's 1533-position model. The record is from RNAcentral.